AUUUAUGGUUGUUUUUUGAAUAAAAUUAAUGUUAUAAUGAUUUAGGUUUUCGGGCUAUAGCUCAGCUGGUUAGAGCGCACCCCUGAUAAGGGUGAGGUCGAUGGUUCAAGUCCAUUUAGCCCGA
This 124-nucleotide transfer RNA is filed under the name Spiroplasma citri. Its description in RNAcentral is "tRNA-Ile". The stretch from base 51 to 124 matches the Rfam family "tRNA". From Rfam's summary of the family: Transfer RNA (tRNA) molecules are approximately 80 nucleotides in length. Their secondary structure includes four short double-helical elements and three loops (D, anti-codon, and T loops). Further hydrogen bonds mediate the characteristic L-shaped molecular structure. tRNAs have two regions of fundamental functional importance: the anti-codon, which is responsible for specific mRNA codon recognition, and the 3' end, to which the tRNAs corresponding amino acid is attached (by aminoacyl-tRNA synthetases). tRNAs cope with the degeneracy of the genetic code in two manners: having more than one tRNA (with a specific anti-codon) for a particular amino acid; and 'wobble' base-pairing, i.e. permitting non-standard base-pairing at the 3rd anti-codon position. The record is from RNAcentral. Lineage: Bacteria; Bacillati; Mycoplasmatota; Mollicutes; Entomoplasmatales; Spiroplasmataceae.